GGAUCAGUAUGUCGGUCAUGCCUUUGGUAUGUACUGGUGUCACUGAUUCCUCCCUUCUGAAGAACCGUUAUGCCAUUCAUUUAGUGUGGCGGGGAAUCAGGACUGUUACUUUGAAAAAUUAGAGUGUUUAAAGCAGGCUCGCGCUUGAAUACAUUAGCAUGGAAUAAUGAAAUAGGACGUUUGAUCUUAUUUUGUUGGUUUCUAGGAUCGACGUAAUGAU
Molecule: ribosomal RNA, 220 nt
Filed under: uncultured fungus
Lineage: Eukaryota; Fungi
Description: partial 18S ribosomal RNA
Rfam family: Eukaryotic small subunit ribosomal RNA
Source: RNAcentral